Pelobates cultripes (western spadefoot toad) is the source of this 275-nucleotide non-coding RNA. The record is from the annotation of a GenBank genome assembly. NCBI's taxonomy places the organism in Eukaryota, Metazoa, Chordata, Amphibia, Anura, Pelobatidae.
GGGAAACCGUGGCCCCCACUGCUGACAAAGACCAAACGCAGCACAUGCCACACAGAGGUCACAGAUCAAUGCUUUGAGUCCGAGGUUUAGGGAAUAAAUGUAGGAGUCGGGACUGAAAAUCGAGGCAGAAUUGAGUGCAUACUUUCAUGCUGCCUGCAUUCUCAGAGUGCGUCCUACCUAGAAUGCUGCAGAUGAGUGAGUGCUUCUUACCGUUAACCUACCUUAAUUCUGACCCACAGACACGUACUGAUCUGUCUGGAUCCUGUUAGACCACC